GACGAACGCUGGCGGCGUGCUUAACACAUGCAAGUCGAACGGUGAAGCGCCUUCCUUUUUGGUGGGUGUGGAUGAGUGGCGAACGGGUGAGUAACACGUGAGUAACCUGCCCCCUUCUUCUGGAUAACCGCAUGAAAGUGUGGCUAAUACGGGAUAUUCUGGGUCUGUCGCAUGAUGGGUCUGGGAAAGAUAUUGUUUCGGUGGGGGAUGGGCUCGCGGCCUAUCAGCUUGUUGGUGGGGUGAUGGCCUACCAAGGCGGUGACGGGUAGCCGGCCUGAGAGGGUGGACGGUCACACUGGGACUGAGACACGGCCCAGACUCCCACGGGAGGCAGCAGUGGGGAAUAUUGCACAAUGGGCGCAAGCCUGAUGCAGCGACGCCGCGUGAGGGAUGGAGGCCUUCGGGUUGUGAACCUCUUUCGCCAGUGAAGCAGGCCUGCCUCGUUUGUGGGUGGGUUGACGGUAGCUGGAUAAGAAGCGCCGGCUAACUACGUG
Molecule: ribosomal RNA, 494 nt
Filed under: uncultured bacterium
Lineage: Bacteria
Description: partial 16S ribosomal RNA
Rfam family: Bacterial small subunit ribosomal RNA
Source: RNAcentral